RNAcentral lists this ribosomal RNA (1063 nucleotides) under Francisella tularensis. RNAcentral describes it as "bacterial SSU rRNA". It matches the Rfam family "Bacterial small subunit ribosomal RNA", at positions 195 to 1242 of the family's 1533-position model. The record is from RNAcentral. Lineage: Bacteria; Pseudomonadati; Pseudomonadota; Gammaproteobacteria; Thiotrichales; Francisellaceae.
UGUGGAUUAAAGGUGGCUUUCGGGCUGUCGCAGAUGGAUGAGCCUGCGUUGGAUUAGCUAGUUGGUGGGGUAAGGGCCCACCAAGGCUACGAUCCAUAGCUGAUUUGAGAGGAUGAUCAGCCACAUUGGGACUGAGACACGGCCCAAACUCCUACGGGAGGCAGCAGUGGGGAAUAUUGGACAAUGGGGGCAACCCUGAUCCAGCAAUGCCAUGUGUGUGAAGAAGGCCCUAGGGUUGUAAAGCACUUUAGUUGGGGAGGAAAGCCUCAAGGUUAAUAGCCUUGGGGGAGGACGUUACCCAAAGAAUAAGCACCGGCUAACUCCGUGCCAGCAGCCGCGGUAAUACGGGGGGUGCAAGCGUUAAUCGGAAUUACUGGGCGUAAAGGGUCUGUAGGUGGUUUGUUAAGUCAGAUGUGAAAGCCCAGGGCUCAACCUUGGAACUGCAUUUGAUACUGGCAAACUAGAGUACGGUAGAGGAAUGGGGAAUUUCUGGUGUAGCGGUGAAAUGCGUAGAGAUCAGAAGGAACACCAAUGGCGAAGGCAACAUUCUGGACCGAUACUGACACUGAGGGACGAAAGCGUGGGGAUCAAACAGGAUUAGAUACCCUGGUAGUCCACGCUGUAAACGAUGAGUACUAGCUGUUGGAGUCGGUGUAAAGGCUCUAGUGGCGCAGCUAACGCGAUAAGUACUCCGCCUGGGGACUACGGCCGCAAGGCUAAAACUCAAAGGAAUUGACGGGGACCCGCACAAGCGGUGGAGCAUGUGGUUUAAUUCGAUGCAACGCGAAGAACCUUACCUGGUCUUGACAUCCUGCGAACUUUCUAGAGAUAGAUUGGUGCCUUCGGGAACGCAGUGACAGGUGCUGCACGGCUGUCGUCAGCUCGUGUUGUGAAAUGUUGGGUUAAGUCCCGCAACGAGCGCAACCCCUAUUGAUAGUUACCAUCAUUAAGUUGGGUACUCUAUUAAGACUGCCGCUGACAAGGCGGAGGAAGGUGGGGACGACGUCAAGUCAUCAUGGCCCUUACGACCAGGGCUACACACGUGCUACAAUGGGUAUUACAG